Molecule: ribosomal RNA, 449 nt
Filed under: uncultured bacterium
Lineage: Bacteria
Description: bacterial SSU rRNA
Rfam family: Bacterial small subunit ribosomal RNA
Source: RNAcentral
GUACGGGAGGCAGCAGUGGGGAAUAUUGCGCAAUGGGCGAAAGCCUGACGCAGCGACGCCGCGUGUGGGAUGACGGCCUUCGGGUUGUAAACCACUGUCGGGAGGGACGAAUGCGCCGCAAGGCGAGUGACGGUACCUCCAAAGGAAGCACCGGCUAACUCCGUGCCAGCAGCCGCGGUAAUACGGAGGGUGCGAGCGUUGUCCGGAAUCACUGGGCGUAAAGGGCGCGUAGGCGGCCUGAUAAGUAGGGGGUGAAAUCCUGCGGCUUAACCGCAGGGCUGCCUUCUAAACUGUCAGGCUAGAGCACAGUAGAGGCAGGUGGAAUUCCCGGUGUAGCGGUGGAAUGCGUAGAGAUCGGGAAGAACAUCAGUGGCGAAGGCGGCCUGCUGGGCUGUUGCUGACGCUGAGGCGCGACAGCGUGGGGAGCAAACAGGAUUAGAUACCCCGGU